CGUAGGGAGCAAGCGUUGUCCGGAAUCAUUGGGCGUAAAGCGCGCGUAGGUGGCCUCAUAAGUCCGCUGUGAAAGUCCAAGGCUCAACCUUGGAAAGCCGGUGGAUACUGUGAGGCUAGAGUACGGAAGAGGCGAGUGGAAUUCCUGGUGUAGCGGUGGAAUGCGCAGAUAUCAGGAGGAACACCAAUAGCGAAGGCAGCUCGCUGGGACGUUACUGACACUGAGGCGCGAAAGCGUGGGAGCGAACAGGAUU
This 253-nucleotide ribosomal RNA is filed under the name uncultured bacterium. RNAcentral describes it as "partial 16S ribosomal RNA". It matches the Rfam family "Bacterial small subunit ribosomal RNA", at positions 526 to 779 of the family's 1533-position model. The record is from RNAcentral.